AUCCCAUGAUGAGGACACUUUGUAACAUAUUCUUGAACUUAUUCCAGGCUUCAUCGAAAUUCUUCGAGUCGCCUUGACGGAAGAUAGAAAUGUCGUGCUUGAGCUU
This 106-nucleotide small nucleolar RNA is filed under the name Olea europaea subsp. europaea. RNAcentral's name for it is "Plant small nucleolar RNA R71". It matches the Rfam family "Plant small nucleolar RNA R71". From Rfam's summary of the family: R71 is a member of the C/D box family of snoRNAs containing the C (UGAUGA) and D (CUGA) box motifs. The record is from Rfam by way of RNAcentral. Lineage: Eukaryota; Viridiplantae; Streptophyta; Magnoliopsida; Lamiales; Oleaceae.